This is a long non-coding RNA of Oncorhynchus keta (chum salmon), 2982 nucleotides long. RefSeq lists it as uncharacterized. The record is from RefSeq and is a predicted model, not a curated record. Lineage: Eukaryota; Metazoa; Chordata; Actinopteri; Salmoniformes; Salmonidae. The transcript has 4 exons.
AGAGCAUGUCACUUGCCAUGCCACGGUUGUGGGAUCAAUUCCUACGGGGGACCGGUAUUGAAAAACUAUGGGGAAAAUUAACACAAAUGUUUUGCUCACUACUGCAAGUCUCUCUGUUAAAUGACUAAAACGUCAAUAUAUUCAGGCUGAGCACUAGGAGUGUGUAAUAUGGAGUUUAUAUGUUAGCAUCCCACCUCAGCAGCUUCUCAAACCCUUGUGAUGUACCUGUCCUGCUGUCCAUACCUUCUCCACGGCAUUCUUGACCCUUUAUCUCUGGCAGUCAGAGCAGGUUCAGGGAGAACAUAACACAACCAGACAGUAGCUGACCACAAGGCUAGGCUGAGGUAUCUCUGCAGUCCAGAGCAGGUUCAGGGAGAACAUAACACAACCAGACAGUAGCUGACCACAAGGCUAGGCUGAGGUAUCUCUGCAGUCCAGAGCAGGUUCAGGGAGAACAUAACACAACCAGACAGUAGCUGACCACAAGGCUAGGCUGAGGUAUCUCUGCAGUCCAGAGCAGGUUCAGGGAGAACAUAACACAACCAGACAGUAGCUGACCACAAGGCUAGGCUGAGGUAUCUCUGCAGUCCAGAGCAGGUUCAGGGAGAACAUAACACAACCAGACAGUAGCUGACCACAAGGCUAGGCUGAGGUAUCUCUGCAGUCCAGAGCAGGUUCAGGGAGAACAUAACACAACCAGACAGUAGCUGACCACAAGGCUAGGCUGAGGUAUCUCUGCAGUCCAGAGCAGGUUCAGGGAGAACAUAACACAACCAGACAGUAGCUGACCACAAGGCUAGGCUGAGGUAUCUCUGCAGUCCAGAGCAGGUUCAGGGAGAACAUAACACAACCAGACAGUAGCUGACCACAAGGCUAGGCUGAGGUAUCUCUGCAGUCCAGAGCAGGUUCAGGGAGAACAUAACACAACCAGACAGUAGCUGACCACAAGGCUAGGCUGAGGUAUCUCUGCAGUCCAGAGCAGGUUCAGGGAGAACAUAACACAACCAGACAGUAGCUGACCACAAGGCUAGGCUGAGGUAUCUCUGCAGUCCAGAGCAGGUUCAGGGAGAACAUAACACAACCAGACAGUAGCUGACCACAAGGCUAGGCUGAGGUAUCUCUGCAGUCCAGAGCAGGUUCAGGGAGAACAUAACACAACCAGACAGUAGCUGACCACAAGGCUAGGCUGAGGUAUCUCUGCAGUCCAGAGCAGGUUCAGGGAGAACAUAACACAACCAGACAGUAGCUGACCACAAGGCUAGGCUGAGGUAUCUCUGCAGUCCAGAGCAGGUUCAGGGAGAACAUAACACAACCAGACAGUAGCUGACCACAAGGCUAGGCUGAGGUAUCUCUGCAGUCCAGAGCAGGUUCAGGGAGAACAUAACACAACCAGACAAUAGCCGACCACAAGUCUAGGCUGAGGUAUCUCUGCAGUCCAGAGCCAUUGUAUCAGUGAAGGCCAGAUGGAUGUGGUCUGAUACCGUCUCACCUCCAUCCAUCGCCUCUGUCAAGACUUCUGUCAGGGGUCAAUAUCACUACACACCUGGAUGCUCACAGAUAGCAGAUCACACCAGUCUGUGUACACACACACACACACACACACACACACACACACACACACACACACACAAACGCAGUGUGAGAACAGGUAAGAGAGAAGCUCCUGCUGUUAGUGUAACACUUAACCACUGUCAUGACACCAGCAUGUACAGGACAACAUUUGACCCCCAUAUUCACAGCCAGUGGCAUUAUAGUCUCUGUAAGGGCAGGAAGACAAUUAAGGACUAAUUAAGAAUACAGAUGUGUGUGUUUGACAUCCUGGGUUUUGGGCUCCCCCAGUGGGUGAGGAAUGGGUGGAGGGGUAUGAAGGUUGUUCUACCCAGCAGCCUCUCUCUAUGAGGGGAAGGGAGGGAUGGGUGUGUCCUGAGUGACCCAGGUCUGUCUGCGGUUUGAGAUUUUCAUUAUACCAGCAUCACCCUUACUCCACAACACUGUCGUGCUCCAGGAUCUCACUGGUUUAUUGCUUUAGUUAAUUCAUUGUCUAUACACACACCCAUGUGACGCCCAUGUGAUUGUGUGUACUGGGUGUCAUUACAGCUGUAGACCUCUGCUCUUAGCCUCCAAUGCAUAUUUUGUUAUAUACAUUUUUUUUGUUUACCAGAAGUGUCUAUCAAGAGCAACUUACAGGAGCAAUUGGGGUCAAGUGCCUUGCUCAACACUUUUUUUCAAUGAUUCGAACAAGCGACCUUUCGGUUACUGGCUCAACGCUCUUAACCGCUAGGCUACUGGCCACCCUGUUAUUGGUGAGGAGAGCCUUACUGUGUGGUGGUGCAGUUAAUGGAAAAGUAAUUCUUGUCUUUUAGGCAGAUGUAACUAUUUAAGUCAGAGGAAAGUAAUAUGAUGGCCUUUUUUAAUCUACUCCUUAUUCUGAAUGAUGAUAAUACAGAGACAGUAUUUUUCAUUUUCUUCCUUUUUUGUUAAAGGUCCAAUGCAGAUUUUUUUUAAAUUAAAAAAUCAAUAUCAAAUAAUUUCAGGGUAACAAUUCAGUACCUUUUAUGUGAUUGUUUUCAAUUAAAAUGGUCAAAAAGAAACAUCAUCUUAGAAAAUAGCAAUCUUUCAAGCAAGAAUUGGACAGGGACUGUCGGAGUGGAAAACUGAACUAGCGGUUAUUGGCAGAGGUUUGGAACCCUCUUUCUUAUUGGUCUAUUAACUAAUUAAAUGCCAUACCACUGAAAUUUAAGCCUGUCUAUUCAUAGUUGUGACACUAAAAGGGCAUUAUCAUAAAUUUCACAAUUUCAUGGUAUUAUACCAACCUCUGUGAGAGAAAAUAUAUAAAACAGGCAAAUCAUGUUUUUGACUACUCUGGGCCUUUUAUGAAAGACUGAGUUCAAACAUCAGGACUAUACUGCCAUCUAAUGUUUCUGGACAUAAUUUUUCACACCUGUCUCAAUCCAAUCCUCGAUUCUUGCGUAUGUGUGUCUC